AGACUAAGAAAUAAAAUGAAAGUUGAAGUUGAUGAUGGGAUGGACAUCCAUAAAGGAUAAAGUAUAAGAAUGAGAGAAAACAAAGGUUAAAGAAUAAGUACAGUAGGUUGGAAAGAUAUCAACAAUACCAGAAAUAGGAAAAAGGAAGUGGAUAAGAUCCAAAGGACAAGAAGAAAGCUUGUAAAGCUAGUUAUAAUGAUGAGGAUAAGGAGUGUCUAACCACUGCCCCUGUGUUAACACUACCUAUGAGCGGUGAAGGAUACACCGUGUACUGUGACGCCUCCAGAGUUGGCCUAAGGUGUGUUUUGAUGCAGAAUGGAA
Molecule: unclassified non-coding RNA, 321 nt
Filed under: Hevea brasiliensis (rubber tree)
Lineage: Eukaryota; Viridiplantae; Streptophyta; Magnoliopsida; Malpighiales; Euphorbiaceae
Source: RNAcentral